AAAAAGUUGCGAAGAACCACUGAAUUCGGUUGUUAUCUCUUCUUAUUGUGUACUAGCCAUGGAUAACCCCUCUCGAUAUUCAAUCUUCCUUUUCUCUUAUUCAUUAUUUUGUUAUUGUGUUGAUGAACAUGAUUGCAACUUAUCUUUGUCUUUUUAAUUUAAUGAUUAUGAUUUAAUUCUGUUUUUGCUAGAAUAAUUAUGAAACUUUGACAUGUGAUUCUUGAUUCUAUGUUAAGAAUGUC
RNAcentral lists this long non-coding RNA (242 nucleotides) under Gossypium barbadense (sea-island cotton). RNAcentral's name for it is "long non-coding RNA (GBAR_LNC020959)". Lineage: Eukaryota; Viridiplantae; Streptophyta; Magnoliopsida; Malvales; Malvaceae. The record is from RNAcentral.